GUGCUUACACAUGCAAGUCGAACGGACCUUCGGGUUAGUGGCGGACGGGUGAGUAACGCGUGAGAAUCUGCCCUCAGGAGGGGGAUAACAGCUGGAAACGGCUGCUAAUACCCCAUAUGCCGCGAGGUGAAAUGAAUUUCGCCUGAGGAUGAGCUCGCGUCUGAUUAGCUAGUUGGUGUAGGUAAUGGCUCACCAAGGCAUCGAUCAGUAGCUGGUCUGAGAGGAUGAUCAGCCACACUGGGACUGAGACACGGCCCAGACUCCUACGGGAGGCAGCAGUGGGGAAUUUUCCGCAAUGGGCGAAAGCCUGACGGAGCAACGCCGCGUGAGGGAUGAAGGCCUCUGGGCUGUAAACCUCUUUUAUCAAGGAAGAAGAUCUGACGGUACUUGAUGAAUAAGCCACGG
Molecule: ribosomal RNA, 405 nt
Filed under: uncultured bacterium
Lineage: Bacteria
Description: bacterial SSU rRNA
Rfam family: Bacterial small subunit ribosomal RNA
Source: RNAcentral